Molecule: long non-coding RNA, 386 nt
Filed under: Equus asinus (donkey)
Lineage: Eukaryota; Metazoa; Chordata; Mammalia; Perissodactyla; Equidae
Description: lncRNA (ENSEASG00005023884.1)
Source: RNAcentral
CAGUGAUGGCCCUGGAAUGGGAACAGAACAAGACCGGGAAACUCAUUUCUUAAUUUUCUGUCCCCGCCCCCUUACACCCAUCUCUCAAAAGCUGAAGGCAACACCCGAGAGUCAUUCCCGCCCUGCUCUGCACCCUGGGAAGUUGACCCCAGGAGACUGCUUCAUCCCCACUCCCCUCCUUCUGGCUUCGAGUUGGGUUCAGCCAAUGGGAGAGCCCAACAGGACAUGGGAGGGUGGGAGGAGAGAGGCCCGGUGUGUAAACUCCACUCUCUCCUUGCCUCAGCACCUCCAGGACUAUGGCUCCACUGGGCAGCCCCCUGCUAAAGCUGUAGCCCUCUCUGGGCUCUGGUACUGCUGUUUUCUCCCCUUGCCCUUUUGGCCUUGAG